GACGAAUGCUGGCGGCAUGCCUAACACAUGCAAGUCGAACGGAGAUUAUUUCGGUAAUCUUAGUGGCGAACGGGUGAGUAACGCGUGGGCAACCUGCCCUCUAGAUGGGGACAACAUCCCGAAAGGGGUGCUAAUACCGAAUGUGACAGCAAUCUCGCAUGAGGAUGCUGUGAAAGAUGGCCUCUAUUUAUAAGCUAUCGCUAGAGGAUGGGCCUGCGUCUGAUUAGCUAGUUGGUGGGGUAACGGCCUACCAAGGCGAUGAUCAGUAGCCGGUCUGAGAGGAUGAACGGCCACAUUGGGACUGAGACACGGCCCAGACUCCUACGGGAGGCAGCAGUGGGGAAUCUUCCGCAAUGGGCGAAAGCCUGACGGAGCAAUGCCGCGUGAGUGAUGAAGGAAUUCGUUCCGUAAAGCUCUUUUGUUUAUGACGAAUGUGCAGAUUGUGAACAAUGAUCUGUAAUGACGGUAGUAAACGAAUAAGCCACGGCUAACUACGUG
This 498-nucleotide ribosomal RNA is filed under the name uncultured bacterium. Its description in RNAcentral is "partial 16S ribosomal RNA". It matches the Rfam family "Bacterial small subunit ribosomal RNA", at positions 28 to 507 of the family's 1533-position model. The record is from RNAcentral.